UGCAACGAUGAAGAACGCAGCGAAAUGCGAUACGUAGUGUGAAUUGCAGAAUUCCGCGAAUCAUCGAGUUUUUGAACGCAAGUUGCGCCCGAGGCUUGACCAAGGGCAUCUCUGUCAGAGCGUCACCG
RNAcentral lists this ribosomal RNA (128 nucleotides) under Octoblepharum pulvinatum. RNAcentral's name for it is "partial 5.8S ribosomal RNA". It matches the Rfam family "5.8S ribosomal RNA", at positions 29 to 154 of the family's 154-position model. From Rfam's summary of the family: 5.8S ribosomal RNA (5.8S rRNA) is a component of the large subunit of the eukaryotic ribosome. It is transcribed by RNA polymerase I as part of the 45S precursor that also contains 18S and 28S rRNA. Functionally, it is thought that 5.8S rRNA may be involved in ribosome translocation. The record is from RNAcentral. Lineage: Eukaryota; Viridiplantae; Streptophyta; Bryopsida; Dicranales; Calymperaceae.